Molecule: unclassified non-coding RNA, 385 nt
Filed under: uncultured fungus
Lineage: Eukaryota; Fungi
Description: partial contains 5.8S ribosomal RNA and internal transcribed spacer 2
Rfam family: 5.8S ribosomal RNA (bases 1-133)
Source: RNAcentral
UGGCUCUCGCAUCGAUGAAGAACGCAGCGAAAUGCGAUAAGUAAUGUGAAUUGCAGAAUUCAGUGAAUCAUCGAAUCUUUGAACGCACCUUGCGCUCCUUGGCAUUCCGAGGAGCAUGCCUGUUUGAGUGUCAUUAAAUUAUCAACCAUACCUGCUUUCACAAGUUUUGGUAAUGGCUUGGAUGUGGGGGAUCUAUUGCUGGCUUCGUCGAGAAGUUUGCUCCCCUCAAAUGUAUUAGCCGGUGCCCCGUGUGGAAUCGUCUAAUGGUGUGAUAAUUAUUUACGCCCUAGAUGUCCGCUUUAAUGGGUUGUGCUGCUUCCAAUCGUCUAUUAAGUUGGACAACUAAUGACAAUUUGACCUCAAAUCAGGUAGGACUACCCGCUGA